Molecule: long non-coding RNA, 626 nt
Organism: Lepidothrix coronata (blue-crowned manakin)
Lineage: Eukaryota; Metazoa; Chordata; Aves; Passeriformes; Pipridae
Exons: 4
Source: RefSeq, a predicted model, not a curated record
CUGGUGCUAAAGGCCUUGUCAGCAAAGACAGAAACAGAAAACAUUGCAGGAUAGAGCAAUGGCCAUAGCAACAACAUCACAUUAAUCAGAGUCUGUAGUCUAUGCAAAGACAAACUUCCCAAACCAACAAACUGCACACCAACAAGUUCCCUUUCUGUCCAGAAACUAGAAACCCCGAGGUAUUUGCUCUCAGACCUCCCUUCUCCAGGUGAGAAAAAGAAUUAGCUGGGAGCAAGGGAUGAUGUAGCUGUGGAAGGCUGAAGGUUAGCAGGCAGCUGGGGUGUCAGUCUGAAGGCCAGCUUGCCUCUCCAGAAGUGGACUUUGGAUGUGUGCAGACAUGGACUCCACUAUGCGAGGAAACUGAUUAUUUGGCCCAGCCCAGCAAUAUGAAAAUUCAGUGGGCAAGAAGGAAUUUUGUGAAUAAACAACGAGAAGUAUUUCAUUUGGCAUCAGCAAGCAGAACACUGGAGAAGCAGCCAUUUUGCUGAAAUAUGAUUACAGCCUCACUGAAAUCACAGAGACAUGGCUGAAUCACUCAUAUGACUGGAAUGCUGACAGAAAAGGAUGCUGCUUGUUCAAGAAGAAUGGACAGCAAAGAGAUAAGAAGCAUCACUUUGUGAGCAUUG